RNAcentral lists this transfer RNA (73 nucleotides) under Paramuricea clavata. It matches the Rfam family "tRNA". From Rfam's summary of the family: Transfer RNA (tRNA) molecules are approximately 80 nucleotides in length. Their secondary structure includes four short double-helical elements and three loops (D, anti-codon, and T loops). Further hydrogen bonds mediate the characteristic L-shaped molecular structure. tRNAs have two regions of fundamental functional importance: the anti-codon, which is responsible for specific mRNA codon recognition, and the 3' end, to which the tRNAs corresponding amino acid is attached (by aminoacyl-tRNA synthetases). tRNAs cope with the degeneracy of the genetic code in two manners: having more than one tRNA (with a specific anti-codon) for a particular amino acid; and 'wobble' base-pairing, i.e. permitting non-standard base-pairing at the 3rd anti-codon position. Lineage: Eukaryota; Metazoa; Cnidaria; Anthozoa; Malacalcyonacea; Plexauridae. The record is from Rfam by way of RNAcentral.
GACCGCGUAGCUCAAUUGGCAGAGCAUUGGGCUAGUAUUCCAAAGGUCGUAGGUUCGAAUCCCACCGUGGCCA